Molecule: small RNA, 29 nt
Filed under: Bombyx mori (domestic silkworm)
Lineage: Eukaryota; Metazoa; Arthropoda; Insecta; Lepidoptera; Bombycidae
Description: ovarian small RNA-29799
Source: RNAcentral
UCUCGUGGACACGGUCGGCGAGUGCGUCU